Long non-coding RNA from Pygocentrus nattereri (red-bellied piranha), 827 nucleotides. The record is from Ensembl. Lineage: Eukaryota; Metazoa; Chordata; Actinopteri; Characiformes; Serrasalmidae.
GUCAGUAUCCCAGAUCCAGGCCUGAGUUCCUCAUCUUGACUCAAUGACAAAUGUAGGAGGAGUCUUUACAUAUUUGAACAGUAGCAGCAAAUCUCUCUUCAUUAUCUGAACACUGGAACCACCACGAUGUGUCUGUGCUCUCUGACUGUCUUUAUGAUCAUACUAAGGAACUGUGUUUCACAGUCAAUAGCACCACUAGAGGACAAAAUGCAGGUUCAUGCUCUCGAAGGUGAGAGAGCUAAUCUCUCCUGCAAGUAUGAGAAAGCAAACUAUUUGUUUUGGUACCGUCAGUAUCCUGCAUCCAGACCAGAGUAUUUACUGAUGAUCAUCCCAUCAACAAAAUCUGUAACUCCAGUCCUCCAGCAACUGAAAGCUGAAGUGGAUGGAAAAAGAGUGGAUCUGUUGAUCUCCUCUGCUGCAGUAUCAGACUCUGCACUCUACUACUGCGCCAUGACGCCCACAGUGACAGGAAACCCAGCUACACUGUACACAAAGUGUUUCAUAUGACUCACACAGGGCAGUGCUGUUAUCAACAGGGGGAGCUAUUUGUCUUUUUUCGUUUAGACUUUCAGCUUUUUAAACCUCCAGGCUAGAAUACUAGAUUGCUCUGGAACACAACUUAUCAAGUUGACAACAAAAAGCUGAUGCUGCUUUUCUAAACUUUACACACAUUUAUCAUAUUAGUGUUUAAUCAGCAGAUACACAGAAAAAUGUUUCUGGAAUCAUAUGACAUCAUAAUGUUCUACUAUUAUGAUACAAACAGAUUUGCAUUUUGCAGUGUGUGAUGUAAUUUGUUAAACUUUUCCAUUUUUCCUUAUUUUAAGUAC